UUAAGCGACUAAGCGUACACGGUGGAUGCCUUGGCAGUCAGAGGCGAUGAAGGACGUGCUAAUCUGCGAUAAGCGUCGGUAAGGUGAUAUGAACCGUUAUAACCGGCGAUUUCCGAAUGGGGAAACCCAGUGUGAUUCGUCACACUAUCAUUAACUGAAUCCAUAGGUUAAUGAGGCGAACCGGGGGAACUGAAACAUCUAAGUACCCCGAGGAAAAGAAAUCAACCGAGAUUCCCCCAGUAGCGGCGAGCGAACGGGGAGGAGCCCAGAGCCUGAAUCAGUGUGUGUGUUAGUGGAAGCGUCUGGAAAGGCGCGCGAUACAGGGUGACAGCCCCGUACACAAAAAUGCACAUGCUGUGAGCUCGAUGAGUAGGGCGGGACACGUGGUAUCCUGUCUGAAUAUGGGGGGACCAUCCUCCAAGGCUAAAUACUCCUGACUGACCGAUAGUGAACCAGUACCGUGAGGGAAAGGCGAAAAGAACCCCGGCGAGGGGAGUGAAAAAGAACCUGAAACCGUGUACGUACAAGCAGUGGGAGCACAGAGCAAUCUGUGUGACUGCGUACCUUUUGUAUAAUGGGUCAGCGACUUAUAUUCUGUAGCAAGGUUAACCGAAUAGGGGAGCCGAAGGGAAACCGAGUCUUAACCGGGCGUUAAGUUGCAGGGUAUAGACCCGAAACCCGGUGAUCUAGCCAUGGGCAGGUUGAAGGUUGGGUAACACUAACUGGAGGACCGAACCGACUAAUGUUGAAAAAUUAGCGGAUGACUUGUGGCUGGGGGUGAAAGGCCAAUCAAACCGGGAGAUAGCUGGUUCUCCCCGAAAGCUAUUUAGGUAGCGCCUCGUGAAUUCAUCUCCGGGGGUAGAGCACUGUUUCGGCAAGGGGGUCAUCCCGACUUACCAACCCGAUGCAAACUGCGAAUACCGGAGAAUGUUAUCACGGGAGACACACGGCGGGUGCUAACGUCCGUCGUGAAGAGGGAAACAACCCAGACCGCCAGCUAAGGUCCCAAAGUCAUGGUUAAGUGGGAAACGAUGUGGGAAGGCCCAGACAGCCAGGAUGUUGGCUUAGAAGCAGCCAUCAUUUAAAGAAAGCGUAAUAGCUCACUGGUCGAGUCGGCCUGCGCGGAAGAUGUAACGGGGCUAAACCAUGCACCGAAGCUGCGGCAGCGACACUGUGUGUUGUUGGGUAGGGGAGCGUUCUGUAAGCCUGUGAAGGUGUGCUGUGAGGCAUGCUGGAGGUAUCAGAAGUGCGAAUGCUGACAUAAGUAACGAUAAAGCGGGUGAAAAGCCCGCUCGCCGGAAGACCAAGGGUUCCUGUCCAACGUUAAUCGGGGCAGGGUGAGUCGACCCCUAAGGCGAGGCCGAAAGGCGUAGUCGAUGGGAAACAGGUUAAUAUUCCUGUACUUGGUGUUACUGCGAAGGGGGACGGAGAAGGCUAUGUUGGCCGGGCGACGGUUGUCCCGGUUUAAGCGUGUAGGCUGGUUUUCCAGGCAAAUCCGGAAAAUCAAGGCUGAGGCGUGAUGACGAGGCACUACGGUGCUGAAGCAACAAAUGCCCUGCUUCCAGGAAAAGCCUCUAAGCAUCAGGUAACAUCAAAUCGUACCCCAAACCGACACAGGUGGUCAGGUAGAGAAUACCAAGGCGCUUGAGAGAACUCGGGUGAAGGAACUAGGCAAAAUGGUGCCGUAACUUCGGGAGAAGGCACGCUGAUAUGUAGGUGAAGUCCCUCGCGGAUGGAGCUGAAAUCAGUCGAAGAUACCAGCUGGCUGCAACUGUUUAUUAAAAACACAGCACUGUGCAAACACGAAAGUGGACGUAUACGGUGUGACGCCUGCCCGGUGCCGGAAGGUUAAUUGAUGGGGUCAGCGCAAGCGAAGCUCUUGAUCGAAGCCCCGGUAAACGGCGGCCGUAACUAUAACGGUCCUAAGGUAGCGAAAUUCCUUGUCGGGUAAGUUCCGACCUGCACGAAUGGCGUAAUGAUGGCCAGGCUGUCUCCACCCGAGACUCAGUGAAAUUGAACUCGCUGUGAAGAUGCAGUGUACCCGCGGCAAGACGGAAAGACCCCGUGAACCUUUACUAUAGCUUGACACUGAACAUUGAGCCUUGAUGUGUAGGAUAGGUGGGAGGCUUUGAAGUGUGGACGCCAGUCUGCAUGGAGCCGACCUUGAAAUACCACCCUUUAAUGUUUGAUGUUCUAACGUGGACCCGUGAUCCGGGUUGCGGACAGUGUCUGGUGGGUAGUUUGACUGGGGCGGUCUCCUCCUAAAGAGUAACGGAGGAGCACGAAGGUUGGCUAAUCCUGGUCGGACAUCAGGAGGUUAGUGCAAUGGCAUAAGCCAGCUUGACUGCGAGCGUGACGGCGCGAGCAGGUGCGAAAGCAGGUCAUAGUGAUCCGGUGGUUCUGAAUGGAAGGGCCAUCGCUCAACGGAUAAAAGGUACUCCGGGGAUAACAGGCUGAUACCGCCCAAGAGUUCAUAUCGACGGCGGUGUUUGGCACCUCGAUGUCGGCUCAUCACAUCCUGGGGCUGAAGUAGGUCCCAAGGGUAUGGCUGUUCGCCAUUUAAAGUGGUACGCGAGCUGGGUUUAGAACGUCGUGAGACAGUUCGGUCCCUAUCUGCCGUGGGCGCUGGAGAACUGAGGGGGGCUGCUCCUAGUACGAGAGGACCGGAGUGGACGCAUCACUGGUGUUCGGGUUGUCAUGCCAAUGGCACUGCCCGGUAGCUAAAUGCGGAAGAGAUAAGUGCUGAAAGCAUCUAAGCACGAAACUUGCCCCGAGAUGAGUUCUCCCUGACCCUUUAAGGGUCCUGAAGGAACGUUGAAGACGACGACGUUGAUAGGCCGGGUGUGUAAGCGCAGCGAUGCGUUGAGCUAACCGGUACUAAUGAACCGUGAGGCUUAACCU
RNAcentral lists this ribosomal RNA (2901 nucleotides) under Escherichia coli O157:H7. RNAcentral's name for it is "bacterial LSU rRNA". It matches the Rfam family "Bacterial large subunit ribosomal RNA". Lineage: Bacteria; Pseudomonadati; Pseudomonadota; Gammaproteobacteria; Enterobacterales; Enterobacteriaceae. The record is from RNAcentral.